This is a long non-coding RNA of Poecilia latipinna (sailfin molly), 656 nucleotides long. RefSeq lists it as uncharacterized. NCBI's taxonomy places the organism in Eukaryota, Metazoa, Chordata, Actinopteri, Cyprinodontiformes, Poeciliidae. The transcript is spliced from 3 exons. The record is from RefSeq and is a predicted model, not a curated record.
CCGGAGGGAGAGUGUUGUCGCUUUCUCCGCCAUCUUUUGCAUAACCAGUCAAGUCGCUGAAGUGGCACUACUAUACUUUUUUCUUACUUCAGCUGUUUUGAAACAUUUCCGGUCACAGAAAAAUAUCAGCAUCUACAAACAGCAUUUCUGUUUAUCAGCUGACUGUGGGCCCUACAACAGCAGAUACCCAGGCUAACUACUUACGUUUUUGUAAAGAGACCAUAGAAAAAUCAAAAAUAAGCGCUUCAAAUUUACUCCUAAAUUUAAAAGCAGUGGGAAAAAGUGUUACAUUUAGAUAAAAAUAAAUAAAUAAAAAAUCCUGCUCAUAUUUUUAUGUAAACACCAGGAAACUGUGAUACUUGAUGAAAUCAUACCGUCAGAAUUUUGAUUAUUUUUUAUUACGAUGAAUUUUGACCAAGCUCCAAGGUUUAUUCAUCUAUUUUACCUUCAUGUCAUGCAUAUGUUUCCCCAAUGACUUUUUUUCUUAUGUUUUCCUCCAAAUUUUCCAUCCUCUUCCUGUGUUUCUUCCCCACUCCCUGGCCCCCACCUACCCUCGCAGUGAAGGUCAUUCUAAUAAAGAGCUCUCAUAGGAUUCAGCUGCUAAUUGCUCUGCGGCGCUCUAGCUGGUUUUAGAUCCAAAUAAAGGCACAUUGCCU